Xiphophorus hellerii (green swordtail) is the source of this 171-nucleotide long non-coding RNA. RefSeq lists it as uncharacterized. Lineage: Eukaryota; Metazoa; Chordata; Actinopteri; Cyprinodontiformes; Poeciliidae. The transcript is spliced from 2 exons. The record is from RefSeq and is a predicted model, not a curated record.
CAGAAUUUUCAAAAGUUUUAAGCAGCACAUCUUUUACAACUUUGUUGUUCAUAAUAAAUACAAGACUGUGACACAGUUUUUAUAUCGGUGCCUGUUUUUAUAGAAAUGCGCAUAAGUAUAUACAUGUACAAAUGUAUAAACAUGAAUAAAUGACUUGGUCUCUACAACACA